GUUGCUCCUAGAUUGAUUUUGAUGAUUACAAAGCAGAUUGAAGGGAUACAAAUAAUUUUAAAAUGAAAAAGUCCUUAUGCUCUUCAAGGGCAAAAUUAUAAUUUUACUAAAAUCCUGAUUUGAUAGUACCAUUUGGUAGAACAAAUGAUUUGAAAUCUAUUGGUGAAAAUUUCAUUAUGUUUGGACUUAUAUUUUUGAAGUUAUGA
RNAcentral lists this long non-coding RNA (206 nucleotides) under Elaeis guineensis (African oil palm). Its description in RNAcentral is "long non-coding RNA (EGUI_LNC067621)". Lineage: Eukaryota; Viridiplantae; Streptophyta; Magnoliopsida; Arecales; Arecaceae. The record is from RNAcentral.